RNAcentral lists this ribosomal RNA (434 nucleotides) under uncultured bacterium. Its description in RNAcentral is "partial 16S ribosomal RNA". It matches the Rfam family "Bacterial small subunit ribosomal RNA", at positions 29 to 507 of the family's 1533-position model. The record is from RNAcentral.
AACGAACGCUGGCGGCAGGCCUAACACAUGCAAGUCGAGCGGACAUCUUCGGAUGUUAGCGGCGGACGGGUGAGUAACGCGUGGGAACGUGCCCUUUGCUUCGGAAUAGCCUCGGGAAACUGGGAGUAAUACCGGAUGUACCCUUUGGGGGAAAGAUUUAUCUGCAAAGGAUCGGCCCGCGUUGGAUUACGUAGUUGGUGGGGUAAUGGCCUACCAAGCCGACGAUCCAUAGCUGGUUUGAGAGGAUGAUCAGCCACACUGGGACUGAGACACGGCCCAGACUCCUACGGGAGGCAGCAGUGGGGAAUCUUAGACAAUGGGGGAAACCCUGAUCUAGCCAUGCCGCGUGAGCGAUGAAGGCCUAGGGUUGUAAAGCUCUUUCACCGGGGAAGAUAAUGACGGUACCCGGAGAAGAAGCCCCGGCUAACUCCGUG